AAAGGAAUUGACGGGGGCCCGCACAAGCAGCGGAGCAUGUGGUUUAAUUCGAAGCAACGCGAAGAACCUUACCAGGUCUUGACAUCCCCUGACGACCCUAGAGAUAGGGAGUUCCCUUCGGGGACAGGGAGACAGGUGGUGCAUGGUUGUCGUCAGCUCGUGUCGUGAGAUGUUGGGUUAAGUCCCGCAACGAGCGCAACCCUUGUAUUUAGUUGCCAUCAGGUAAUGCUGGGCACUCUAGAUAGACUGCCGUAGACAAUACGGAGGAAGGUGGGGAUGACGUCAAAUCAUCAUGCCCCUUAUGACCUGGGCUACACACGUGCUACAAUGGCCUGAACAAAGGGAAGCGAGAUAGCAAUAUGGAGCAAAUCCCAAAAAACAGGUCUCAGUUCGGAUUGCAGGCUGCAACUCGCCUGCAUGAAGUCGGAGUUGCUAGUAAUCGCAGAUCAGAAUGCUGCGGUGAAUGCGUUCCCGGGCCUUGUACACACCGCCCGU
RNAcentral lists this ribosomal RNA (495 nucleotides) under uncultured bacterium. Its description in RNAcentral is "bacterial SSU rRNA". It matches the Rfam family "Bacterial small subunit ribosomal RNA", at positions 903 to 1397 of the family's 1533-position model. The record is from RNAcentral.